GACAGAGGGUGCAAACGUUGUUCGGAUUUACUGGGCGUAAAGCGCGUGUAGGCGGCUUGGCAAGUCGGAUGUGAAAGCCCACGGCUCAACCGUGGAAGCGCACCCGAAACGGCCUCGCUCGAGUCUCGGAGAGGAAGGUGGAAUGCUUGGUGUAGAGGUGAAAUUCGUAGAUAUCAAGCAGAACACCUGCGGCGAAGGCGGCCUUCUGGACGAUGACUGACGAUGAGACGCGAAAGCGUGGGGAGCAAACAGG
Molecule: ribosomal RNA, 253 nt
Filed under: uncultured bacterium
Lineage: Bacteria
Description: partial 16S ribosomal RNA
Rfam family: Bacterial small subunit ribosomal RNA
Source: RNAcentral